UCAUAAAACUUUUCUCUCUGCUGUGUAUAUAAAAAAAAGUGCAGUAUAAAUUACUAAACUUAGAUUUUGGUGGGCUUAAUAGGCAUGUUUACCCUACACCACUUUUGUACAGUGCCAGUAUUUGCCCCUUUGUGGUCUGCCUGUUCGCUUGCCAUUCUCUGGUAACCUCUCAUUAACAUGCCACCAGACUGCCAUUGACUGUUUUUUGUUGCUACAUUGAGGCCAUUCAAGAACUUAUUCUGUUCCAAAAACAGUCAAAUGCAUGAAUUAAGUGCUGCGAUUUCCCUUUAAUGUGGAUAUUUGACACAGUCAAUAUAAAAAUAGACCUGUUUGUCUAAGUAUCUGCUUAACCUGACGACAGCUGAGUUGAGUACAGAGAGCAGCUGGCACUCUGCAGAUACACCAGUGGGACUAGACAGGGCAUUCAUGGAAUAACUUCGGAGUGAUGUGUAGUUCAGAUUUCCAACCGCCUUUAGUCCAACGAUAGCUACGCCAGUCAGUAAAAUCUUACGUGUGCUACAUUUUUGACAUGUACUGUAUGUAACAUUAAAGUAGGUGACUGAACUUGAAUGAAUUGGGCAAGUCCAAAUGUUAAACACAACAUUGCAGUUAUUUGUGUCCUUGGCUUGACCUUAUUCAGACAACAUAUUGGACAAAUUAAAACAAUAAUGUUAACGAGAUGGCGAUGGUUGAAAAUGAAUUUACCGUACACUCACUGUAAACAAACGUUACACGAAAUGUUUAAUUUAGCUUAAUGGUUUGAUAAUUCGAUAUUAUGUUUACGUAACCCAGUGUUAAGAUAUUAUAGUCAGUAGCAAGUCUACGUUUUCCAUAACAACACUAACGAUGGUCGACACUAAUCAGUUUCAAGACAAGCAACGCAAAAUAACAACCAAUCCACGGAUUAGUCAACUAGCUAGUAAGCUAGCUAGGUAGCUAACAUCCUUAGACAACUAGUCUGUAUUAAAUGUACUUUGUCAGUAGUCUAUGGCAAGCUAACAAUUUGCUAGUUAAUGUAAACAAAAGGCAACACUAGCUAGCUUAAGACAACUAGUAGUUAGGCAACGUUAGAUAAUUUCAGGUUAGCUAUAAACAUUCCUUAACGUUUCAUUCAAGACGGUAACGUUAUCAUUAGGUACUACCGUAACUUCACAGUGUGUAGAGUAGUUGUUGACUUGAAGUUAUAGGAGUACUCAACGUCGUUAACCAGUUAGCUAGCUUUGUGAUCAUGAAAGACGAACAGGAUGUGUAAACAUGUGGCUUGCAAAAACAAUGACAGUCAAGGGGCCCACCACUACGGUAUCUGAAGCCCUACCAUUCAAUAAGAAAUUGACAUCCACCAUCCAUCCUUGUACAAAAUAAUCCCAGAAGCACACCCAUGGCCCUGCGAGACUGGGACUGAGCUGAAAGAAAAACACAUCGCUGACCAACUAGUCCACCUGCAAUGGGGAGCUGCCAUGCUUUUUACUAUUAUCUAUUUUUUGUAGCCUAUAUAUUCAUCCCUGAGUAAAAAUG
Molecule: long non-coding RNA, 1515 nt
Organism: Esox lucius (northern pike)
Lineage: Eukaryota; Metazoa; Chordata; Actinopteri; Esociformes; Esocidae
Exons: 3
Source: RefSeq, a predicted model, not a curated record